GGGUUGUGAGGUUAAGCGACUAAGCGUACACGGUGGAUGCCCUGGCAGUCAGAGGCGAUGAAGGACGUGCUAAUCUGCGAUAAGCGUCGGUAAGGUGAUAUGAACCGUUAUAACCGGCGAUUUCCGAAUGGGGAAACCCAGUGUGUUUCGACACACUAUCAUUAACUGAAUCCAUAGGUUAAUGAGGCGAACCGGGGGAACUGAAACAUCUAAGUACCCCGAGGAAAAGAAAUCAACCGAGAUUCCCCCAGUAGCGGCGAGCGAACGGCGAG
RNAcentral lists this ribosomal RNA (272 nucleotides) under Escherichia coli. Its description in RNAcentral is "partial 23S ribosomal RNA". It matches the Rfam family "Bacterial large subunit ribosomal RNA", at positions 1 to 264 of the family's 2925-position model. Lineage: Bacteria; Pseudomonadati; Pseudomonadota; Gammaproteobacteria; Enterobacterales; Enterobacteriaceae. The record is from RNAcentral.